This is a long non-coding RNA of Sander lucioperca (pikeperch), 2152 nucleotides long. RefSeq lists it as uncharacterized. The transcript is spliced from 2 exons. Lineage: Eukaryota; Metazoa; Chordata; Actinopteri; Perciformes; Percidae. The record is from RefSeq and is a predicted model, not a curated record.
GCUCUUCUUUAAUGCAAGGUGUGAGCCAAUAGCAUCAGAACAGCGCCAAAACCAAGGCACUCUUGUCUGAGAAAAAGUUAAAAAGCCUUUAUUGAUGCGGCUAAUGCAUUGCAGAAAGAUUGUUUUUAAAAUACACCGUGUUUGCGCUACACAGGCCUUCCUCAGGGGGACUAACCAGAACGUGAGAUACAAACAGGAAAUAUAUAGGACAAAGACAGGAAGUGACAUCAUACUCAAAACCAUUGUAAAAUAGAGAAUGAAUGACAACACACAACAUACAGUUACAAUAUAUGAAACAGAAUCAAAGUGCUAAAUCUAUAUCUAAGAGAUUAUUUUCAGUUUCCUGAGAUGAAUGCACCCAGCAGUCGGCCCAGUUGACCCGCCCCCCGCCCCCCCAUGAAAGCUCUCGCAGCAGCUCCAAACGCAGCCGACGCCAUCGUUCAUGCUCAUGUAGACGACUGACUUGUCUCUUUUCCUACAGAUAUCUUAAUAUAUAAAUGUAUGUAUGUUCUAUAAGAGCUUUGUAAAAAAGAAACCGAUAUUUGCUAAUAGACUGAAAUAUUUUUUUCUUGCCAUUUAUAGUUCCUAUUUUGUGUGGUUGUUUUUUUUUCAUAACUAGUAAUUUCCCAGCUUUCUUUUUUUAAGCUGCUAACUUUUGCUAGUGAAAUAUCACUGAUAGAUUAAGUCCAGAGGGCUGUCAUCGACUCGUGACCCCUAUGAUGUAAGACUUGACCUCUUUGACUCCGCCCCCUCCCAUGAAAACACCUCCCGUUGGGUGCUGACGGAGCGGCGAGCCGAGAGGACUUUUUCAUAUAUUUAAUGUACAAAACAGAGUUUGUGCACAUUGUUUGCUUGGCUUUCUAAUUGUGUCAUUGUAAAAAAUGUCGUGGUGUCAUAGCACAUAUUUUGAAUGUUUAAUGAAUUUCAAAUAGUGUCGCUGAAAGUCAGAGGAACGCUUGAAGCCGCCUACACAUGAUAAGCAAUUUGCUCUCAAUGCACCGCUAGGUAGGGCGUCAUCAAGGCUGGCAAGAAAGCAAUUUCCCGUUGCUAGGUAACGACAUGCUGUUAUCUUAUCGGUUGCGCUUUUGAAAGCGGUUUUGCCGACUAUCAUGUGUAGGCGGCUUUAGUCUAAGAGGAGAAUGUAGUUUCCGAUGGCAUAAAGGGUGCUGUUAGUACACCUAUGAAAUCACUAGUGAAGUGCCUCAUGGCUGAGUUCCCCUUAUUAUCUCCUCUAGGAGUCGAUUUGAAACAUGUCCUGCAAUAUAUUUACUGAAUGAACUAGGUGACACUUAAUUUGGGAUUUCCCACAGAGGGCUAUCAGAAUAUUUUUACAGAUUCUAGUAUUAUUAAGACCUAAGAUACAUUUCAAUUUAAUGUCAGUAUAAGCAUCGCCGCCUCAACAUUUCUGUUGCCGUUUCUGGUUUUUGUAACAUGUGAUAUGUAGCCUACUGGCAGUUAGAGUAUGGAAACCAUUCUGUUAAUACAGUCAAGUUUGGUCUUUAUUGUGUAUCUUCAGUCUCAAAAUGUCAGUGCAGAGCUGCAAAGUCCUGAGUGUAGUAAGCUACCUACUAGCUAUCUACUCUGAAGUACUUGAGUUUUUAUAGAAACGGUGUACUUACUUUCCUAAUUAUUUUCUUAAUUAGAUGUUUUAUUUGCUCAUCCGGUUACAUUUAAAGUUGGAUGUUAAAGCUGGAACUCUGGACUUUGCAGUUGACAGGCUGAAAUGGAACCAUCACAAAACAUUUUCAAGAGGACAUAAUACAAUUUGGUUUUCAUUACCCUAAUCAUUUUCCAGACAAUACUGUUGAAAGUACCUGAAUACUUUUCUAGUACUAGUUCCACCUGUGGACAGCACAAAAUGUUUAUUUUUUCUUGGGUCACAUGAGCUCUGAGCAGAAUGAUGUGAGUGAGAAUGAAGCCAGAUGAUACACGGCCUCUCGGCUGAGUGGAAGACAAACCAGGCUGAAGCUCUUUCACCUAAAGCAGACAUUUUCUAAUUCAAGUAGCUGAAUGUAAUUAGAAAAGCUUUUUUUGUAAAUAAUUUGUUCAUACUAAUGCUGUGGGAUCAACUUACAAAUGUACUGUGACGGCAUCACACUUCUGCUGCCGUUUUAAAAGUGAAAUAAAGUUUAUCCUCUUUAGGAGACAGGAA